Molecule: ribosomal RNA, 119 nt
Filed under: Pteropus alecto (black flying fox)
Lineage: Eukaryota; Metazoa; Chordata; Mammalia; Chiroptera; Pteropodidae
Source: RNAcentral
UUCUACAGCCAUGCCACCCUGAACAAGCCUGAUCCCUUCUGAUCUCGGAAGCUAAGCAGGGUCGGUCCUGGUUAGUACUUCGAUGGGAGACCACCUAGGAACACCAGGUGCUAUAGGUG